Hyla sarda is the source of this 375-nucleotide long non-coding RNA. RefSeq lists it as uncharacterized. Lineage: Eukaryota; Metazoa; Chordata; Amphibia; Anura; Hylidae. The transcript has 4 exons. The record is from RefSeq and is a predicted model, not a curated record.
GAAGAAGACUGCAGCAGAGGUCGGGAGUGGAUACCGGAGGCACCAGGGGAAGUGGUGGGAGAAGCAGACACAAUAAAGACACUUAUGGAAUUCAAGCACAUGGGACUGUUUUGUUAAACUCUUCUGGCAACUUACCACUAGAAAUGAACAGACAGACACCCACUAGAUGAUUCAAGCUACGUUCCAACCACAGCAGACAAACACCUUUGUGAUUCGGAUGCAUGUCUGUGAGCAUGUUGCUUGGAAUCAGAAGUCCUGAGAUGAAAAGCAUGAGCAAGUCUGACUUUCAUUGGGGGGAAUGAUGUCAUAAAGCCAUGAAACAUCUGUAGGACAUGGAUCACAGUCUGACCUUUCUUUGUCUACCACUUCUACAGG